Long non-coding RNA from Saccostrea cuccullata (small rock oyster), 1022 nucleotides. RefSeq lists it as uncharacterized. The transcript has 3 exons. The record is from RefSeq and is a predicted model, not a curated record. NCBI's taxonomy places the organism in Eukaryota, Metazoa, Mollusca, Bivalvia, Ostreida, Ostreidae.
GAAAAGAGGUAUGUAGUUCCUUUUAUCAAUUGUUUAUUUAUACUCAUGUACUACUUUCGCGUAAUAAUCUAACAUGAGACGAUUCAGCUUGAAAUUAUUGUAAACAAACCCACAUGGAGUACAAAUGAUUUACAAUGGAAGUGACAGGCUUCCCUUCAACAUUAGCAAGGAUGGACCAAAGCUAUGAAAAUUGGACAGUCUCAAAGACACAAGCAUAUAAGAACUAUUUUAGUCGGUAUAAAUGUGUCCCUACGGAGUUAGCUAACAGACAGCGGGAUAAUUAACAUUGCAUGGUGAAUAUGUAGAAAUUUCGCUCUGUGUCAUCUCUACUCAGCACAACCGCAGUCAGAUACACUAUUCUCAUGAUUCUGAAGAAAAUUCUAACAAGAGACAGUUGUCAGAAGAAUGGUGAAGACAAUCUCCAGAAAAGAAAACACUACUGAUAUUAGGAUGCAUGUACCAAUUUUUUACAAUCCCGAAAGACAAAUUGGCCACAGGAAUAAAAAAAAAUAUUGUAUGGCGUUCAAGGGUCUGCCAUGAUAGGAGCUCUCCUGAAAAAAAAAAUCCAUUUAUUAUGGACAUCAUGACACAGGGCUCACCUGUCAUCAGCAUUAGAGACGUGAUUUGUUCUACCUGAGUCAUACGUGUAUUGAAUCAAGACAAUUUAUAGAACCACAAGCACAUUGUAAAUCUUUGUAAGGUCUUCUAUGUAUGUUGCAUCCUUAUUUGAUUUGCAGCUUAACAAGACUUUGUUUCAUCGGUACUAAGGCAACUUAAUAUACAGAAAAAAUCAAAAGCAGUUUUUAUUUAUACAAAAUUUUAUUCACAUAAGUGAAUGGGAUUGGGCAGCAGGCAAAGCCUAUUUUAGCCCUCUCCCUAAAAAGCAGUUGUGAUAUUUAUUGUUUUCUAUUACUCAUUAGUACUCAUUUUUGUGUGAAAUUUUAUAAUUAUCCAUUUCUUGUUCCCAAAAACCGUAUCUUACAAAUUUAAUGUAUAAUUACAACUUGCAUUUCAAUUUUAUC